UACAGAGGGUGCAAGCGUUAUUCGGAAUCACUGGGCGUAAAGAGUUCGUAGGCGGUUUGUUAAGUCGAAUGUGAAAGCCCUGGGCUCAAUCCAGGAAGUGCAUUCGAUACUGGCAAGCUGGAGUGCAGGAGAGGAAGGCGGAAUUCCAGGUGUAGAGGUGAAAUUCGUAGAUAUCUGGAGGAACAACAGAGGCGAAGGCGGCCUUCUGGACUGUCACUGACGCUGAGGAACGAAAGCGUGGGGAGCAAACAGG
Molecule: ribosomal RNA, 253 nt
Filed under: Pseudomonadota bacterium
Lineage: Bacteria; Pseudomonadati; Pseudomonadota
Also listed under: 1 other name
Description: partial 16S ribosomal RNA
Rfam family: Bacterial small subunit ribosomal RNA
Source: RNAcentral